Molecule: ribosomal RNA, 253 nt
Filed under: uncultured bacterium
Lineage: Bacteria
Description: partial 16S ribosomal RNA
Rfam family: Bacterial small subunit ribosomal RNA
Source: RNAcentral
UACGGGGGGGGCAAGCGUUGUUCGGAAUUACUGGGCGUAAAGGGCUCGUAGGCGGCCAACUAAGUCGGAUGUGAAAUCCCCAGGCUUAACCUGGGAACUGCAUCCGAUACUGGAUGGCUUGAAUCCGGGAGAGGGAUGCAGAAUUCCAGGUGUAGCGGUGAAAUGCGUAGAUAUCUGGAGGAACACCGGUGGCGAAGGCGGCAUCCUGGACCAAUACUGACGCUGAGGAGCGAAAGCCAGGGGAGCAAACGGG